RNAcentral lists this ribosomal RNA (253 nucleotides) under uncultured bacterium. RNAcentral describes it as "partial 16S ribosomal RNA". It matches the Rfam family "Bacterial small subunit ribosomal RNA", at positions 524 to 776 of the family's 1533-position model. The record is from RNAcentral.
UACGAAGGGUGCAAACGUUGCUCGGAAUUAUUGGGCGUAAAGCGCACGUAGGCGGCUUUGCGAGUCGGAUGUGAAAGCCCUCGGCUUAACCGAGGAAGUGCAUCCGAAACUGCAGAGCUUGAGUACUUAAGAGGAUCGCGGAAUUCCCGGUGUAGAGGUGAAAUUCGUAGAUAUCGGGAGGAACACCAGUGGCGAAGGCGGCGAUCUGGGAAGAUACUGACGCUGAGGUGCGAAAGCGUGGGGAGCAAACAGG